Molecule: ribosomal RNA, 497 nt
Filed under: uncultured bacterium
Lineage: Bacteria
Description: partial 16S ribosomal RNA
Rfam family: Bacterial small subunit ribosomal RNA
Source: RNAcentral
GAUGCACGCUGGCGGCGUGCCUAAUACAUGCAAGUCGAGCGAACGGACGAGAAGCUUGCUUCUCUGAUGUUAGCGGCGGACGGGUGAGUAACACGUGGAUAACCUACCUAUAAGACUGGGAUAACUUCGGGAAACCGUAGCUAAUACCGGAUAAUAUUUUGAACCGCAUGGUUCAAAAGUGAAAGACGGUCUUGCUGUCACUUAUAGAUGGAUCCGCGCUGCAUUAGCUAGUUGGUAAGGUAACGGCUUACCAAGGCAACGAUGCAUAGCCGACCUGAGAGGGUGAUCGGCCACACUGGAACUGAGACACGGUCCAGACUCCUACGGGAGGCAGCAGUAGGGAAUCUUCCGCAAUGGGCGAAAGCCUGACGGAGCAACGCCGCGUGAGUGAUGAAGGUCUUCGGAUCGUAAAACUCUGUUAUUAGGGAAGAACAUAUGUGUAAGUAACUGUGCACAUCUUGACGGUACCUAAUCAGAAAGCCACGGCUAACUACGUG